This is a long non-coding RNA of Octopus sinensis (East Asian common octopus), 332 nucleotides long. RefSeq lists it as uncharacterized. The transcript has 5 exons. NCBI's taxonomy places the organism in Eukaryota, Metazoa, Mollusca, Cephalopoda, Octopoda, Octopodidae. The record is from RefSeq and is a predicted model, not a curated record.
GAAAAUGCUUACAAAAACGCAAUGCUGUUGAAUUUUAUCCUGGAGGUUUCUGAUUCUUGUGCUGAUUCGUGUGACUUAACUCGAGAAACGGAAUGUGAAGAUGAAGAAUGCAUGGAAAAAGAAAAACUUUGUGCGCAAUGCAUGAGAAAUCAACGACUGAAACACUUGAGAAAAUUUCUAAAAUAGCAGGAAUAUGUGAAUGUCUAUGUAUACACAAUCACACAAACCAGAAUGCCAAAUCUUUUACAAUACAGUGCCGACAAGCUGAAGUGUACGAAAUUAAAUAACUAACAAGUGAAAUCCUAAAUGUAUAAUCGAUAACAUUAAAUUUA